RNAcentral lists this long non-coding RNA (542 nucleotides) under Phascolarctos cinereus (koala). RNAcentral's name for it is "lncRNA (ENSPCIG00000024831.2)". Lineage: Eukaryota; Metazoa; Chordata; Mammalia; Diprotodontia; Phascolarctidae. The record is from RNAcentral.
AUAUGAAUCAAUGAAUCAAUAUGCACUUAUUAAUAUAUAAUUAUUAUAUUGAUUUGUAAUCAACAGGAUGGACUCAGGAUCCAGAUAAAAUUAUAAGACGGAAUCACUUCUCGGAUGGCCUUAUUCUGUCUCCCAGAUAUCUUGUCACUUGAAAGGACCUCUGACCUCGUCACCAUGGAGGAAGGAGUCAUUCUACAGUAGAGCCUAUGAGAGAACAGAAGGCAAAUCCUUACAAAGAUGUGACGCUCUUCUUUUAUCCUCAGGAAAGGGUCUUCUCCACACUCUUCAAUGUAUACGAAAAGCCCCCUGGAAUUUGGUUUCGUGGCUUGUUUACUGGAAAAUGUCAGAUUCUCUCAGUGUCUAUAAACCAAGAGUCCCAAGAAGGAAGAAGAAAUCAAGUUAGAACAGGAGAAGAAGCCAUGGAGCAGACCAGUUGUAUAAAGUGGGGGAGGGGAGUCAUGUGGCAUGAGUUGGCAGCAAAUAUUUCAAGGCUAGAUGUUGGUGGAGGCUAGACUGUACCUGACAAGCCUGCAGAAAACUGG